Long non-coding RNA from Antechinus flavipes (yellow-footed antechinus), 4032 nucleotides. RefSeq lists it as uncharacterized. The transcript has 2 exons. NCBI's taxonomy places the organism in Eukaryota, Metazoa, Chordata, Mammalia, Dasyuromorphia, Dasyuridae. The record is from RefSeq and is a predicted model, not a curated record.
UAAUUAAUAUAUGCUGGCAAAUUUUAUUGGGCACAGCUCCAAAUUUUACAUAUGGGUCCUCUUAAUGAUAAUCCAGCUAUUACAUUAUUGGCCAUGGAUUUUUGAAGAAAAGAGUAGUCAGAACUCCUUUUCAGUCCACUCAGCAGGAGAUGUAUGCAACUAUGCUAGUUCUUACUUAUUAUCCAGGAGAUAUAAAUAGAAUAUCUGAUUCAGCCCAUUCAGUAGAUGUGGUUCAAAGAAUUGCCACAGCUCAGAUAAAAUUUGUAGCCUAUACCGUAUUUCAGCUUUUUAAGGAACUUCAAGAGCAAGUGAGAAAACAUCCAGGUAAGGAUUACCUCUUCCACAUUCACUCUCAUACUGGUAUUCUAGCAACUAUUUUUCUUGGAAACUCAAAAGGCAGAUCAUUUUCUCACCAUGUUAGCCAACAUUCCCUAAUUCAGCCCGCUCAAGAAUUCCAUUUUAAAUACCAGCAGGCUGCUCGAGCUUUAUGUUUACAAUUUGGAAUAACAAGAAAGGAAGUUAGGAGCAUAGUUAAAGCCUGUGCAGCUUGCCUUCCUUUCCAGGCUCCUAUGCUCCCUCCAGGGAAGAACCCUCAUGGUUUGAGACCCAAUGAAAUUUGGCAAAUGGAUAUGACCCAUUAUAAAUCUUUUGGUUGUCUGUCUUUUAUCCAUGUUGUGGUAGACACUUUUUCAGGAAUCACUUUUGCAAAACCAGCAACAAAAGAGACAGGCUGAGUGGUCACUGAAUUUGUUAUACAAGCUUGUGCAAUCAUGGGUGUGCCAAAAGCAAUAAAAACAGAUAAUGGACUUGCAUAGACUUUUAUUUAUUUAUUUAUUUAUUUAUUUAUUUAUUUUGCUGAGGCAAUUGAGGUUAAGUGACUUGCCCAGGGUCACACAGCUGGGAAGUGUUAAGUGUCUGAGACCAGAUUUGAAUUCAGAUCCUCCUGACUUCAGGGCUGGAGCUCAAUCCACUGUGCCACCUAGCUGCCCCUCUGCAUAUACUUCUAAACAUUUUGCACACUUUUUUUGCACAGUAUCAGGUUUCACACACCACUGGCAUACCCUUCAAUCCUUGAGGACAACAAAUACUGAAGAGAAGGAACAGAGACAUCCAGAUGCUUCUCCAAAAACCAGAGAGGGGGAGCUACAGAUAACCCUAGAGAAUUUCUAAACACAGCUAGUUUCUCCUAUUAAAAUGUAAACUUUCUGUACAGGGACUGUCUUGCUUUUUAUAUUUGUAACUCGAGUGCUUAGCAAAAGACAUAGAUUGAGGGCUUAAAUUCUGAUUCAUUAACUUUUCAUUAUUUUUAUUCAAAUUGAUUUUUUAUAUUAGGCUAAUUCAUCAGCUUGACACCUAUACUUAAAAUUUUAUUUAGGGAUAUGUGAUAGCAUAGCUUUCACUCCUUCCUUCCAUUUUGUUUCCUCUGAAUUCCUCAGUAUCUCACCCUCUAUAGUUUUUCCUAAAUUUGGGCUUAAGUAAGGUCCUAAUUAAUGAAAUAAUGAAUUACAUAAAGGGGUCCUAUGCCUUCUAGGUGUCAUUAUUCAGUUAUUAUUAUGAAAAAUAUAUCCACUAGCUACAGCCCAAUGGAAAAAUGCAAUGUGAAUGUGAAGCAUGUACGCAUCUAUGAGAUUCAUUCUGCACACUAACCAGGAUCUGGCUAUAAUUCUCUAUAGACUCAACUUUGGUCAAUAUAGGUGGACAGCUGUCUUUUUUUACCUUCCUUUAAAGCUUUUCAGGUUAUAUUUACAAAACUCCAAAAAAAAUCUCCUCACCAGCUUUCCUUAUAUGUAAUGUUUCCUUUGUUGCAAUUUACAGGUCACACAAGCAGCUUUGUUUAACUGUAAGGACAUCCUGUUGUUGUUAUUUUAAGCUAGAUCUGUUCCAGAAACCAAUGGAUCAAUGAAAAAUAUCUCAUUUUGCAAACUAUUCAUCAUGAUCAGGUUGAAGUCAUUAAAUUUAUUUCAUCAAUGCAAGCAUUAUUUAACAUUACAUAAUCUCUUAGCAUUAUGAAUUUGUUGAGCAAUGAUUACAGUCACCAUCAUCUCAACAGGUAGAACAUGCUUACAACAUUCAGCAUUCAUUUAUGUUUAAAUCACAGGCUUAAAAGGAUCUUUCCACAAUAGCAUGCAGAGUAUGUGUGUCAAAGGUACAAUUAGCAUGCUGAGUAAGGGACCCACACUGGAAGCUUUCCUUUGGGAAGCAGCCUGGAUGUCCUGUGUCUCAAUUCUAAUUUUCUUUCUACUAGCAAUAAGAGCAACAAGAGAGUAAAAGUAGAAUAGGGAUGCAAAGGAGGAGCCAGAAUUAUCAUUUGUUGAUCAUAUAUGGGUGAAUUAGAGAACACCAGAUAUCCUCCAUCUCAGCAUUGAUCCCAUGGGAACAGAUCCUGGUCCAUCUCCUUCAUCUUCUCUUUGUACUGCUUGUUGAAUGUUUCCAUUUGAGUCACUGUGAAGUGGUUUUUCCAGUCUCCACAGAUUCCUGUCACAUAUGAAAUGAGAGCAACAGGUGCUUGGGUCAUGUCCUUAGUGAUCAUUUUUUCCCAUCCCUUUCUCCUUCCCCCUUGACUCAGGAAGGAGUCAUGGGUAGACUGCAGUGACUGAUAUUUAUGGGAUAGCACCCUCCCCUGCAACCAGGGAGUUCUUCUCUUCAUCCUUAAAUCAUUCAUGCAGUAUUGACAGGAAGGCUUACCUCUUCCUCUUACUCCUCCUCUGUUUGUUUUUCCUCACUUACAGGAAAACCUGAUAGAGGUUUUCUUGGAAACUCAUGCAUUCUAUCUCUGAGUGUGUCAUUGCAUAAAAAUAUACUAAAGUCUAUUAGAUUAACGGGACAAAUUCUUUGGCUGCCUCUUUUCUGUCCUACUGUUUUGUGCUGUAUACCUUCUCUGAUUCUGUUUCUGACUGCCUAGAUGUCAAUUGGGAUGUGGGGGAGGGGAGGCUAACCACCUACUUAACUCUCUAGUGGUCCUAGACCAUUGCUUCUCACCUUUUCUCAUCAAAACAAUUUUGACAGAUUCAGUAUUUUUUAUAGGCAUAGGUUCUUUGUUUUCCAGGAUGUGCUUUUUCAUGACUUGGAAGGAAGCAUUCUUCAUGACUGAAUUGAUUUCUUCCUCACUCAGCUCCUUGCCCAAGAAUUGGCAAAGUUUUUCCACACUGACCUUAAGAUUCUAGAAAAACAUACAACAACCUGUAAUAGUGGGAUGAAAAUGUCUUAGAGAAAGAAAAGGAGGGAAAGGGGGAGGUGAAAAGUGUAAGAGAAGAAGAAACAGGGAUUUUAGAUAAAGAGAGAAAGAAUAAUCUGAAAGGAAAGAUGUGAGGGAAAGAGUGAAAGCACUAAGUACAGGGAGAAAAGAGAUUGGAGUUGGUACUAGGGAGUAGUGGGAAUGGGAAGGAGGACAAAAUCUGAAGCAGGAAGGCAAAGGCAAUCAAGUAGAGAAGAAGAGAAAGAAGAAAAUUUGAAGGUAGAGUAGAGAAGAGGAAUGGAGGUAAACUAAGAAAUUAUGGUGAGUGGAUGAAGAGCUGGUAUGGGAGGUGGAGAUAAAGAACAGAAGAAAAGAGAAGAACUGAAGCAAAUAAAAAAAGAAGAAAACAGUAGGAACAGAUGAGGAGAAAAGGGAAAAGUAAACAGAAGCGCUAGAGGAAAAAAGCAGGAAAAUAGAGGCAAAGACAAAGGAAGAAACAACAAAAUGGAGAGAUGGAGAAAAAGAAAGAAAUUAAAUGAAAAUAGAAAGAAGAGUUGAAGAAAAAGAAAUGAAGAAAGAAAAUAGAAGGAAGAGAUGGAGGAAAAGAAAAAGGAAAAUAGGGACAAGAAAUGUAGGGAAAGAAAGAAAGAAAAACUGGAAGAAGAGAUGGAGUUAAAGGAAACAGAAAAAAGGAAAAUAUAUUGGAGUAAAAGGAAAAAAGAAAAAAAAAGGAGAGAAAUGAAAAAGGUAGAAAAGGAGGUAGAAGAAAAGACAGAAAGGAAGAGAAAACAGGAAAAAAGAGACAAAGAGAAAGAAAGAAAACAGGAAGAAGAUAUGAAGGGGAAAAGUAAGAAAGA